Molecule: ribosomal RNA, 914 nt
Filed under: uncultured marine archaeon
Lineage: Archaea
Description: bacterial SSU rRNA
Rfam family: Archaeal small subunit ribosomal RNA
Source: RNAcentral
UUCCGGUUGAUCCCGCCGGACCUGACUGCUAUCGGAUUGAUACUAAGCCAUGCUAGUCUUUGUAGUAAUACAAGGCAUACGGCUCAGUAACGCGUAGUCAACCUACCCUAUGGACGGGGAUAAUCUCGGGAAACUGAGCAUAAUACCCGGCAGACCACUUAUCCUGGAAUGGUUAGUGGUUAAAAUGAUUCGUCGCCAUAGGAUGGGACUGCGGCCUAUCAGCUUGUUGGUGAGGUAAUGGCCCACCAAGGCGAUUACAGGUACGGGCUCUGAGAGGAGAGGCCCGGAGAUGGGUACUGAGACAAGGACCCAGGCCCUAUGGGGCGCAGCAGGCGAGAAAACUUUGCAAUGUGCGAAAGCACGACAAGGUUAAUCCGAGUGAUUUCUGCUAAAGGAAUCUUUUGUUAGUUCUAAAAAUACUAGUGAAUAAGGGGUGGGCAAGUUCUGGUGUCAGCCGCCGCGGUAAAACCAGCACCUCAAGUGGUCAGGAUGAUUAUUGGGCCUAAAGCAUCCGUAGCCGGCUUUGUUAGUUUUCGGUUAAAUCCAUGUGCUCAACGCAUGGGCUGCCGAAAAUACUGCAUGGCUAGGGAGUGGGAGAGGUAGACGGUACUCAGUAGGAAGGGGUAAAAUCCUUUGAUCUAUUGAUGACCACCUGUGGCGAAGGCGGUCUACCAGAACACGUUCGACGGUGAGGGAUGAAAGCUGGGGGAGCAAACCGGAUUAGAUACCCGGGUAGUCCCAGCUGUAAACGAUGCAGACUCGAUGAUGCAUUGGCAUAAUAGCCAGUGCAGUGUCGCAGGGAAGCCGUUAAGUCUGCCGCCUGGGAAGUACGUACGCAAGUAUGAACUUAAAGGAAUUGGCGGGGGAGCACCACAAGGGGUGAAGCCUGCGGUUCAAUUGGAUUCAACGCCGGG